This 716-nucleotide ribosomal RNA is filed under the name Pseudomonas sp. NO12. Its description in RNAcentral is "bacterial SSU rRNA". It matches the Rfam family "Bacterial small subunit ribosomal RNA", at positions 25 to 730 of the family's 1533-position model. Lineage: Bacteria; Pseudomonadati; Pseudomonadota; Gammaproteobacteria; Pseudomonadales; Pseudomonadaceae. The record is from RNAcentral.
CAGAGUGAACGCUGGCGGUAGGCCUAACACAUGCAAGUCGAACGGCAGCACAGGAGAGCUUGCUCUCUGGGUGGCGAGUGGCGGACGGGUGAGGAAUACAUCGGAAUCUACUCUGUCGUGGGGGAUAACGUAGGGAAACUUACGCUAAUACCGCAUACGACCUACGGGUGAAAGCAGGGGAUCUUCGGACCUUGCGCGAUUGAAUGAGCCGAUGUCGGAUUAGCUAGUUGGCGGGGUAAAGGCCCACCAAGGCGACGAUCCGUAGCUGGUCUGAGAGGAUGAUCAGCCACACUGGAACUGAGACACGGUCCAGACUCCUACGGGAGGCAGCAGUGGGGAAUAUUGGACAAUGGGCGCAAGCCUGAUCCAGCCAUACCGCGUGGGUGAAGAAGGCCUUCGGGUUGUAAAGCCCUUUUGUUGGGAAAGAAAUCCAGCCGGCUAAUACCCGGUUGGGAUGACGGUACCCAAAGAAUAAGCACCGGCUAACUUCGUGCCAGCAGCCGCGGUAAUACGAAGGGUGCAAGCGUUACUCGGAAUUACUGGGCGUAAAGCGUGCGUAGGUGGUUAUUUAAGUCCGUUGUGAAAGCCCUGGGCUCAACCUGGGAACUGCAGUGGAUACUGGAUGACUAGAAUGUGGUAGAGGGUAGCGGAAUUCCUGGUGUAGCAGUGAAAUGCGUAGAGAUCAGGAGGAACAUCCAUGGCGAAGGCAGCUACCU